UAUCUGUCAUUUGACAGCCUCUUGUUUUAAACAUGUUAAAGGAUAUUUUAAAUAUCUCCAUUGUACAUACUCAUUAUCUUUGUAUGCCACUAUAAUCAGCUUUUAUUAAAUUGUUAAAUGUGUGGUUUUGGGGGAAAUGCACAUAAUGUAGAUAAAUGAUGUUAUCAUUUUACAUAACUCCAGAUAUUCUUUUAUUAUCAUUCAGUUUUAUGUGGCAGCUUGUCUGAAAGGCUGGUGUGUAAUAUUUCUUACUUGCCAUCAGUUAUCCAUUUAUUUAUUCACCCAUUUUAAAAUGACUGAGCUAGUCAAAUUUCUUUUUUUAAAUUCCAAAGCUGUGAGUAUAAUAUCAAACUGUAUACAUGUAGGUAUAAUGUUUUGGAGAGUUUCCACACAGAAUCAUUUUCUAUUUCCAGUGGUGGUAGAAUUCUUCAAAACUCCACCUUUAUAUGAACAAAAUUUAUAUUAAUAAUGAUAAUGAAUGAAAUUCUGUAUCAUUUCUUUUUCUUUUUUAUGCCCCUGUCGGAGGGUGCAUUAAGUUUUACCCUUGUCUGUCCAUAUGUCCCCCCCCAUUCUCUAACUUUAGUUUGCCACAACAAAAUAUAAUGAAGCUUAUUCAUAAUGCUUAUUACCACAACACUCAGAUCAUGUACAAAUUUGGGCAGUGUUGCUUGAGUUAUGUUCCUUUAUAACAAAAAAGUAUGCAGACAGGGGCAUCAUCUGUGCACCAUGGACACAUUUCCUAUUUAUUCUCUAAUGAAAGAUGUAACAAAACAUGAUUCUAGAUUUUUUUAAUUAGCUUCUAAAUGUCUUAUCUAAAACAAGGAAGGAAAAUCUUUCAAAUUCUUAAAAUGCUCAAGAAAAUAUAAUGUGGAGAUUCUAACAAAAUGUUAUUGUUCUAUAAUGAUGCAACCGGAUUUAUAAAAGGUUAAUUUCAAUUAUUUUAUAACAUUUCGAUUUGUUGUUAUUGAAUAUAAUUAUAGUCUGAAAUGUUGACUUGUUAUUUUAUACAUAAACUGGAAC
RNAcentral lists this long non-coding RNA (1020 nucleotides) under Mytilus galloprovincialis (Mediterranean mussel). The record is from RNAcentral. Lineage: Eukaryota; Metazoa; Mollusca; Bivalvia; Mytilida; Mytilidae.